GGGAAUAUUGGACAAUGGGGGAAACCCUUAUCCAGCGACGCCGCGUGAGGGAAGAAGGUUUUCGGAUUGUAAACCUCUGUCAGUGGGGACGAUAAUGACGGUACCCACGGAGGAAGCCACGGCUAACUACGUGCCAGCAGCCGCGGUAAUACGUAGGUGGCAAGCGUUGUCCGGAAUUACUGGGUGUAAAGGGAGCGUAGGCGGGAUGUCAAGUCAGAAGUGAAAAUUAUGGGCUCAACUCAUAACCUGCUUUUGAAACUGAUAUUCUUGAGUGAAGUAGAGGCAAGCGGAAUUCCUAGUGUAGCGGUGAAAUGCGUAGAUAUUAGGAGGAACACCAGUGGCGAAGGCGACUUUCUGGACAGUAACUGACGUUGAGGCACGAAAGUGUGGGGAGCAAACAGG
RNAcentral lists this ribosomal RNA (402 nucleotides) under uncultured bacterium. RNAcentral's name for it is "bacterial SSU rRNA". It matches the Rfam family "Bacterial small subunit ribosomal RNA", at positions 357 to 776 of the family's 1533-position model. The record is from RNAcentral.